AAGAACAGGAAAAGGUUGCGUGCUAUACUUACUUCCUCCUCCCGUUUCUUCCCUCGUCUAGCAAAAAUGGACAUCGUCUCAUCCAUGGGGAAGAUUGAUCCAGAAAUCCGCCGGGGUGCGACGCCGAGUCGCCGCUAGUUCCAAUCCCACGCGUGGCGUCGACGCCUCUCCCUCUCUCCACUCGCCGAUCCCCCAAAAUGAAAUCCUCGAUCUAGCCGCUGGCUAUACAUUCUGUUCCCCUUUUGAUUGUAUACCUUCUAGUCCUUCAGUUUGUCAGCACUAAUUCUUAUCAUGCUAAACAACCUGGAAGUGAGAGAGAAGCAACCACCACGGGAUACAUCAGAUGUUCAGUGAGGUGAUGUAGGUGUUGUGUAGAGAUGGGUGGUAGUGGAGUCGUCAAGGAGAUUGCCUGAGCUGAAUCGGCUCCUAGUAACUCGUCAAAAACUACCCCACACGGACGGGAAACUUUUUUGAAGAGAGGUGCAUGGAUAGGAACCUGGCUGACGUAACUAAGACUCUCUAAAAUAGAGAAAGAUGCUGAACCAAGUCUAAAGCUCGCUGAGCACGGCUGGUCCGAUGCCUGUUGGCUGGUUUUCUUUUACCAUGGAGGUUGUAAAAGGUUCACUGUAGAUUUUUGAUAUACCUUCAUUAGCCCAGCCAUACCGGUUUCAUGGUGAACGAAAUAGGCAACAUGGAGGUUGGAUGCUUAGAUGAUGUUAUGAUAAGAUUAGUUGCUCAACAACUAUAGCAUGAGCAUGGGUAACAUCCAAAUUCCACAAAUUAGUCAUGUAUUAGUGUGUACUCA
Molecule: long non-coding RNA, 805 nt
Organism: Triticum aestivum (bread wheat)
Lineage: Eukaryota; Viridiplantae; Streptophyta; Magnoliopsida; Poales; Poaceae
Exons: 4
Source: RefSeq, a predicted model, not a curated record